CCAGCUACUCGGGAGGCUGAGGCAGGAGAAUGGCAUGAACCCGGGAGGCAGAACUUGCAGUGAGCCGAGAUCGCGCCACUGCACUCCAGCCUGGGCGACAGAGCGAGACUCCGUCUCAAAAAAAAAAAAAAAAAAAAGGACAGGGUUUAAAAUGUCUUCUUCCCAGCAUUGAGGUUUCAGGCAGACCUAUGACAAAAUCAUCAAUAACAAAGCCCAUCACAAAUAGAUUUCCUGCAGGGUUCAAGGCUGCACACACCUUUGAUUCUGACAGCUGCCAGGAAUGUCUGGCCAUGCCCUUCUCAGGGCAGGACGGGCUUUGGGGCAUGGGGAGUCAUGCCUAAAGCAGGCUUGCCUUACAGCUAGGAGCAGGGAAGAGAAAUUGAACAUUACAGAUGAGUUGAAGCCUGCUCUUCCCCUCCCCACUGGUGUUCCACUGUGUCUCCCUCCCUGCAGGCAGCCGUGAGGAUCAGUUUGGUGGGCAUCCUUCUGAGGGGGUCUAUAUUCCAGAGGUUCACUUUACCGCAUCUGUGUAUACGCAUGUGUCAUAUUGUCUUCUUUUCUUUCUUUUUUUUUUUUUUUUGAGACGGAGUCUCGCUCUGUCGCCCAGGCUGGAGGCAGUGGUGUGAUCUCAGCUCACCGCAACCUCC
This 647-nucleotide long non-coding RNA is filed under the name Homo sapiens (human). RNAcentral describes it as "HSALNT0393113". The record is from RNAcentral. Lineage: Eukaryota; Metazoa; Chordata; Mammalia; Primates; Hominidae.